This 497-nucleotide ribosomal RNA is filed under the name uncultured bacterium. RNAcentral's name for it is "partial 16S ribosomal RNA". It matches the Rfam family "Bacterial small subunit ribosomal RNA", at positions 28 to 507 of the family's 1533-position model. The record is from RNAcentral.
GAUGAACGCUGGCGGCGUGCCUAAUACAUGCAAGUCGAGCGAACAGACGAGGAGCUUGCUCCUCUGACGUUAGCGGCGGACGUGUGAGUAACACGUGGAUAACCUACCUAUCAUACUGGGAUAACCUCGGGAAACCGGAGCUAAUACCGGAUAAUCUAUUGAACCGUGGGGUUCAUUAGUAAAAUACGGCUUUGGUGUCUCGUAUAGAUGGUUCCGGGCCGCAUGAGCUAGUUGGUAGGGUAACGGCUUACCAAGGCAACGAUGCGUAGCCGACCUGAGAGGGGGGUCGGCCGCACUAGAGCUGAGACGCGGUCCAGAGGCCUACGGGAGGCAGCAGUAGGGAAUCGUACGCAAUGGUCGAAAGCUUUGCGGAGCAACGCCGCGUGAGUGAUGAAGAUCUUCGGAUCGUAAAACUCUGUUAUGGGGUAAGAACAAAUGUGUAAGGAGAUAUGCACGUCUUGACGGUACCUGAUCAAGAAGCAACGGCUAACUACGUG